CUUUCAAAAGCUUAUUACAGGCUGUAGUUUUUUGUUCAUUAGCUGUAACAGCUUUUUAAUGGCUUGCUUGAUCUAAAGUAUAAGCUAAGCCUUUGAAAGAUGGCGACUCGAAGCAGGAAAGGAUAAAGUUGUGGCUUUCUGUGUUUGGCACUCCUACCUCCCUGCUCGCCUGGUGGAUGUGUCUGCCUCAUAUCACCCUUCAGAAGACAGGGAGCUCAUUGACUGCAGCCAAGCUCCAGCAACACAGUUUUUGCUACAGUCCAUGGCAGUGCAUACCAUGGGAGAUGGAGAGGAGGACCCCAGCAGACCAGCAAAUGGCUUCUGGAUUGCAAGACUAUAUGUGUUGCUCAACUACAUUCAAAACAUGAUAUGGCCUUGCUGUUUGAUUUUGGUCGGAUUACUCAAGUACCUAAAGAUAAGUACACUAGUAAGCUUUAAUUGGAAGAUGAGGAAUUUAUAGGGCCUACAAAUGUUGUUGAGUCUUUCCCUGCAAAUACCAUUGGGUUUAUUUGAUUUAACUUGUCAAAAGCAGAACAGAAUGAUUAUUUUCCUCAUCAAAAGCCUGGCCCAGGCAGCUCAAGGACUUUAAAAGGGGCAUGACAGAUGCAAAAGAAGAGGUAAUGUAUGAGAUGCUGUUUGCUAUCAGGAAAGUGUAAAGUAAUGCACAUCAGUUCAAGAAAUCAGAUGUUAACACUGGAAAAGAAGGUGGAAAAAGAAGAAAAGAGCCAUAAAAGCAUUCUGUAAAAGGAAAACUAACUUGCCAGAACUAUAGGAAAUGGGAGGCAGGCUUCCCUCUUCUC
Molecule: long non-coding RNA, 800 nt
Organism: Pezoporus occidentalis (night parrot)
Lineage: Eukaryota; Metazoa; Chordata; Aves; Psittaciformes; Psittacidae
Exons: 4
Source: RefSeq, a predicted model, not a curated record